AGGACGAACGCUGGCGGCGUGCUUAACACAUGCAAGUCGAGCGGAAAGGCCCUUCGGGGUACUCGAGCGGCGAACGGGUGAGUAACACGUGAGUAAUCUGCCCCUAGCUCUGGGAUAGCUCCGGGAAACCGGGAUUAAUACCAGAUACGACCACUUUAGACAUCUUCUGUGGUGGAAAGAACUUCGGCUAGGGAUGAACUCGCGGCCUAUCAGCUUGUUGGUGAGGUAACGGCUCACCAAGGCGACGACGGGUAGCCGGCCUGAGAGGGCGACCGGCCACACUGGGACUGAGACACGGCCCAGACUCCUACGGGAGGCAGCAGUGGGGAAUAUUGCGCAAUGGGCGAAAGCCUGACGCAGCGACGCCGCGUGGGGGAUGAAGGCCUUCGGGUUGUAACCCCUUUCAGCAGGACGAAGCGAAAGUGACGGUACCUGCAGAAGAAGCGCCGGCUAACUACGUCGCCAGCAGCCGC
RNAcentral lists this ribosomal RNA (473 nucleotides) under uncultured bacterium. Its description in RNAcentral is "SSU rRNA". It matches the Rfam family "Bacterial small subunit ribosomal RNA", at positions 26 to 518 of the family's 1533-position model. The record is from RNAcentral.